RNAcentral lists this ribosomal RNA (388 nucleotides) under uncultured bacterium. RNAcentral's name for it is "partial 16S ribosomal RNA". It matches the Rfam family "Bacterial small subunit ribosomal RNA", at positions 523 to 918 of the family's 1533-position model. The record is from RNAcentral.
AUACGUAGGUGGCAAGCGUUAUCCGGAAUUAUUGGGCGUAAAGAGUGAGCAGGCGGUUAAUUAAGUCUGAGGUUAAAGCGUGGGGCUCAACCCCAUAAAGCCUUGGAAACUGAUUGACUAGAGUACGGGAGAAGUGAAGGGAACUCCAUGUGUAGCGGUGAAAUGCGUAGAUAUAUGGAAGAACACCAGUGGCGAAGGCGCUUCACUAGCCCGAAACUGACGCUCAGUCACGAAAUCGUGGGUAGCAAAUAGGAUUAGAUACCCUAGUAGUCCACGCUGUAAACGAUGACAACUAAAUAUUGCCGCGAGGCAGUGUUGAAGCUAACACAUUAAGUUGUCCGCCUGGGGAGUACGGUCGCAAGACUGAAACUGAAAGGAAUUGACGGGG